Molecule: ribosomal RNA, 404 nt
Filed under: Verrucomicrobiota bacterium
Lineage: Bacteria; Pseudomonadati; Verrucomicrobiota
Description: Verrucomicrobia bacterium partial 16S ribosomal RNA
Rfam family: Bacterial small subunit ribosomal RNA
Source: RNAcentral
UGGGGAAUCUUGCACAAUGGGGGCAACCCUGAUGCAGCGACGCCGCGUGAGCGAUGAAGGUUUUCGAGUCGUAAAGUUCUUUUAUAUGGGAAGAUAAUGACGGUACCAUAAGAAAAAGCCCCGGCUAACUACGUGCCAGCAGCCGCGGUAAUACGUAGGUGGCAAGCGUUGUCCGGAAUUAUUGGGCGUAAAGCGCGCGCAGGUGGUUUAGAAAGUCGGAUGUGAAAGCCCACGGCUCAACCGUGGAGGGUCAUUGGAAACUAAUAAACUUGAGUGCAGGAGAGAAAAGUGGAAUUCCUAGUGUAGCGGUGAAAUGCGUAGAGAUUAGGAGGAACACCGGUGGCGAAAGCGGCUUUUUGGCCUGCAACUGACACUGAGGCGCGAAAGCGUGGGGAGCAAACAGG